AACUUUUAACAACGGAUCUCUUGGUUCUGGCAACGAUGAAGAACGCCGCGAAAUGCGAUAAGUAAUGUGAAUUGCAGAAUUCAGUGAAUCAUCGAAUCUUUGAACGCACCUUGCGCUCCUUGGUAUUCCGAGGAGCAUGCCUGUUUGAGUGUCAUUAAAUUCUCAACCUUUAUCAUUGAUAAAUGGCUUGGAUUGUGGGGGUUGCUGGCUUUUGAGGUCAGCUCCCCUUAAAUGCAUUAGCUGGUGCCGGUAUUGGUGUGAUAAUUAUCUACGCCGUGGAUGUAGCACUGCUUCUAACGACAAUAAAUGACAAUUUGACCUCAAAUCAGGUAGGACUACCCGCUGAACUUAAGCAUAUCAAUAAGCGGAGGCU
RNAcentral lists this unclassified non-coding RNA (373 nucleotides) under uncultured Bolbitiaceae. Its description in RNAcentral is "sequence contains ITS2". The stretch from base 1 to 154 matches the Rfam family "5.8S ribosomal RNA". The record is from RNAcentral. Lineage: Eukaryota; Fungi; Basidiomycota; Agaricomycetes; Agaricales; Bolbitiaceae.